GCCCACGUUAUCCAGGAUAGAUGUUUGUUUAAUCUCUUCUUCAAUCUCUCUAGAGAAGGAGGUGCGACACAUGCUCCAGGGCUUAGCUAUUCCUCCUGCUUGAACGUUUAUUUCCCGAGGCCUGACCUAAAGACCUUUUCCUGCAAUUUACAGCAUAAUUUUGUGUCCCAUUUGCAAUGGAAAUGGAAAGCAAUUUAUUCCAUUGUUACUUACAGCAGUCUGGAAGAUAGCUGAGGAUGGCUCUCAUACCUGCCUUCACUGCCCUUUGAGCAGAGCAGCCACUGGCACUUGCAGUCUGCCCUUGUAGGUCAUGUUUUCCAGCCUUUCAGUCGUACUGCCACUCUCCUCUGCAUUGCUAGAACAGACUCAUAUUUUCCUUGAAAAGGGGUGCCCCAAAAUGCCCAACUGAGUAAGUACAUAUAAAUCCUGACCAACGUGAAGAAGCAGAGGGGUGACUUCAGACCACAGAUACGACAUCUGCAUACUUGUAUCCAGACAUACAUUGCCUGUAUCAUUCCUGCCUUACAUAUAGUUUGUAACCAGCUACAGCCUCCAGAACUUUUUAUUAUGUAUUUGUGCUGUUGAUUAUUCCUGCCAGGUUGUCUUCUAUUUCUAAGACUACUUUUAAGACAGUUAAGUUGCUUUUUAAAUUCUUUUUCUAGGUUAUUUCUUCAUGUGAGAGAAGAUGAUCAGUCUGAGUUCUCAGCUUUGUUUUUCAAAGCCUACUGCCCCUAUUGCUUAUCAUCUACAAACCGAUGACUACAAUUUCCAGUCCCUCAAUAAACUGUCCCUCAAUAAGACCUGCUAAUAAAAAUACUGAGCAGUAGAAGGCUGACCACAGUCUUUACCUGAAUAUUGUUGCAAACUCACUUUUUAUUUAUUAUGCUAAGGUGUCCUGGCCUGGGCUAGGAUAGAGUAGAUUUUUUCCUAGUAGAUGGUAUGGUGCUGAUUUGGAUUUAGGAUGAGAGUAAUGUUGAUAGCACAUCGAUGUUUUUUCCUGUUGCAGAGCAGUUCUUGCACAGAGCCAAGGACUUUUAAGCUCCUCAUACGGCCCCGCCAGGAAGGAGGCUGGGGGUUCACCAGGAACUGGGAGGGGACACAGCCAGGACAGCUGGCCCAGACCACAACACAAGACACUUACUGGCUGUACAACCUUCAUCACAGCACAGACCUGCAAGGCCGGACAGCAGGAUAUUUAUACUGUACUCUCUGUUCCUGCCGUGAUAGAGCACAGAGCUGGAGAAGGGCAAACCUACACAAGGAAUGCAGGUAAAUGUUAGGUGAUACAUGCAUAAUUUCCAGAAGACAAAUAAAAGGAAUACAAAGUUUAUUCUCCUUCCCUUA
This 1344-nucleotide long non-coding RNA is filed under the name Anser cygnoides (Swan goose). RNAcentral describes it as "lncRNA (ENSACDG00005006851.1)". Lineage: Eukaryota; Metazoa; Chordata; Aves; Anseriformes; Anatidae. The record is from RNAcentral.